UAACUGAAGAGAAACCA
This 17-nucleotide small RNA is filed under the name Arabidopsis thaliana (thale cress). RNAcentral's name for it is "ATSL136500". Lineage: Eukaryota; Viridiplantae; Streptophyta; Magnoliopsida; Brassicales; Brassicaceae. The record is from RNAcentral.